GACGAACGCUGGCGGCGUGCUUAACACAUGCAAGUCGAACGGAAAGGCCCUGCUUGCAGGGUACUCGAGUGGCGAACGGGUGAGUAACACGUGGGUGAUCUGCCCUGCACUUCGGGAUAAGCCUGGGAAACUGGGUCUAAUACCGGAUAGGAGCCAUUUUUAGUGUGAUGGUUGGAAAGUUUUUUCGGUGUAGGAUGAGCUCGCGGCCUAUAAGCUUGUUGGUGGGGUAAUGGCCUACCAAGGCGGCGACGGGUAGCCGGCCUGAGAGGGUGGACGGCCAUCUUGGGACUUAGAGGCGGCCCAGACGCCGACGGGUGGCAGAAGUGGGGAAUAUUGCACAAGGGGCGCAAGCCGGGUGCAGCGAGGCCGCGGGGGGGAAGACGGCCUUCGGGGUGUAAACUCCUUUCGCUAGGGACGAAGCUUUUUGUGACGGUACCUAGAGAAGAAGCACCGGCUAACUACGUG
This 465-nucleotide ribosomal RNA is filed under the name uncultured bacterium. Its description in RNAcentral is "partial 16S ribosomal RNA". It matches the Rfam family "Bacterial small subunit ribosomal RNA", at positions 28 to 507 of the family's 1533-position model. The record is from RNAcentral.